This 483-nucleotide ribosomal RNA is filed under the name uncultured bacterium. Its description in RNAcentral is "bacterial SSU rRNA". It matches the Rfam family "Bacterial small subunit ribosomal RNA", at positions 30 to 507 of the family's 1533-position model. The record is from RNAcentral.
UUGAACGCUGGCGGCAUGCCUUACACAUGCAAGUCGAACGGCAGCACGGACUUCGGUCUGGUGGCGAGUGGCGAACGGGUGAGUAAUGCAUCGGAACGUGCCAUUGAGUGGGGGAUAACGUAGCGAAAGUUGCGCUAAUACCGCAGUAUUCUGUGAGCAGGAAAGCAGGGGACCGCAAGGCCUUGCGCUCUUUGAGCGGCCGAUGUCAGAUUAGCUAGUUGGUGAGGUAAAGGCUUACCAAGGCGACGAUCUGUAGCGGGUCUGAGAGGAUGAUCCGCCACACUGGAACUGAGACACGGUCUAGACUCCUACGGGAGGCAGCAGUGGGGAAUUUGGACAAUGGGGGCAACCCUGAUCCAGCCAUGCCGCGUGAGUGAAGAAGGCCUUCGGGUUGUAAAGCUCUUUCGGCCGGGAAGAAAUCGCAUGGGCCAAUACCCUGUGUGGAUGACGGUACCGGAAUAAGAAGCACCGGCUAACUACGUG